Molecule: ribosomal RNA, 936 nt
Filed under: Rigidoporus microporus
Lineage: Eukaryota; Fungi; Basidiomycota; Agaricomycetes; Polyporales; Meripilaceae
Description: eukaryotic LSU rRNA
Rfam family: Eukaryotic large subunit ribosomal RNA
Source: RNAcentral
CAUAUCAAUAAGCGGAGGAAAAGAAACUAACAAGGAUUCCCCUAGUAACUGCGAGUGAAGCGGGAAAAGCUCAAAUUUAAAAUCUGGCAGUCUUUGGCUGUCCGAGUUGUAAUCUGGAGAAGUGUUUUCCGCGCUGGACCGUGUACAAGUCUCUUGGAAUAGAGCGUCAUAGAGGGUGAGAAUCCCGUCUUUGACACGGACUACCAGUGCUUUGUGAUGCGCUUUCAAAGAGUCGAGUUGUUUGGGAAUGCAGCUCAAAAUGGGUGGUAAAUUCCAUCUAAAGCUAAAUAUUGGCGAGAGACCGAUAGCGAACAAGUACCGUGAGGGAAAGAUGAAAAGCACUUUGGAAAGAGAGUUAAACAGUACGUGAAAUUGCUGAAAGGGAAACGCUUGAAGUCAGUCGCGUUGUUCAGAACUCAGCCUGGCUUUGGCUUGGUGCAUUUUCUGAAUAACGGGCCAGCAUCAAUUUUGACUGUUGGAUAAAGGCUAGGGAAAUGUGGCUCCUUUGGGAGUGUUAUAGUCCUUGGUUGCAUACAAUGGUUGGGAUUGAGGAACUCAGCAUGCCUUUAUGGUCGGGGUUCGCCCACGUUCAUGCUUAGGAUGCUGGCGUAAUGGCUUUAAACGACCCGUCUUGAAACACGGACCAAGGAGUCUAACAUGCCUGCGAGUGUUUGGGUGGAAAACCCGAGCGCGCAAUGAAAGUGAAAGUUGGGAUCUCUGUCGUGGAGAGCACCAAUGCCCGGACCAGACCUUCUGUGACGGUUCCGCGGUAGAGCAUGUAUGUUGGGACCCGAAAGAUGGUGAACUAUGCCUGAAUAGGGUGAAGCCAGAGGAAACUCUGGUGGAGGCUCGUAGCGAUUCUGACGUGCAAAUCGAUCGUCAAAUUUGGGUAUAGGGGCGAAAGACUAAUCGAACCAUCUAGUAGCUGGUUCCUGC